Molecule: ribosomal RNA, 497 nt
Filed under: uncultured bacterium
Lineage: Bacteria
Description: partial 16S ribosomal RNA
Rfam family: Bacterial small subunit ribosomal RNA
Source: RNAcentral
GAUGAACGCUGGCGGCGUGCCUAAUACAUGCAAGUCGAGCGAACGGACGAGAAGCUUGCUUUUCUGAUGUUAGCGGCGGACGGGUGAGUAACACGUGGAUAACCGGCCUAUAAGACUGGGAUAACGUCGGGAAACCGGAGCUAAUAUCGGAUAAUAGCUUGAACCGCAUGGUUCAAAAGUGAAAGACGGUCUUGCUGUCACUUAUAGAUGGAUCCGCGCUGCAUUAGCUAGUUGGUAAGGUAACGGCUUACCAAGGCAACGAUGCAUAGCCGACCUGAGAGGGUGAUCGGCCACACUGGAACUGAGACACGGUCCAGACUCCUACGGGAGGCAGCAGUAGGGAAUCUUCCGCAAUGGGCGAAAGCCUGACGGAGCAACGCCGCGUGAGUGAUGAAGGUCUUCGGAUCGUAAAACUCUGUUAUUAGGGAAGAACAUAUGUGUAAGUAACUGUGCACAUCUUGACGGUACCUAAUCAGAAAGCCACGGCUAACUACGUG